AAAGAAGGAAAUUAGUUGAUGGUCUUAAGCAGCUUGGUGUGGAUGCUGAUUGUUUUCUUGGAACAAACUGCCCUCCUGUCCGUGUGAUUGGAAAGGGAGGCCUUCCAGGGGGGAAGGUGAAGCUCUCUGGAUCAAUUAGUAGCCAGUACUUGACUGCUUUGCUUAUGGCAGCUCCUUUGCACUGAACUAAGAAAGCUGGGAGCAACUGUUGAAGAGGGACUAGAUUACUGCAUAAUCACACCGCCAGAAAAAUUAAACGUGACAGCAAUAGACACGUAUGAUGACCACCGAAUGGCCAUGGCUUUCUCUCUUGCUGCUUGUGGAGACGUUCCAGUUACUAUCAAGGAUCCCGGUUGUACCAGAAAAACAUUCCCCGAUUACUUUGAAGUCCUCAGGAAGUUUACCAAGCAUUGAACAGCGGUUAUAAGAUAUAUUUAUCUAUAGAUAGGGAGAGGGAGGGAUCGUCCUUGUGCCUCUACAUCCAAAGCAGUGCAGAUGGAAGCCACACUUGUUUCAGUUUCUCUUUAUUCCCCUGUAAUUUUGGAUGAUUUGUAUUUGCGAGUUGAGCUCGUUAUUAAGAAAUAGAAUAGCGGCAAGUUUGAUGAAUGCAUCUAAUUAGAUUACUUUUAAGUACAUUAACAAUAUUGUACUAAUGAAUUCUAACUAUUCAGUCUAAAAUAUUUCAAUUGAA
Molecule: long non-coding RNA, 691 nt
Organism: Pyrus x bretschneideri (Chinese white pear)
Lineage: Eukaryota; Viridiplantae; Streptophyta; Magnoliopsida; Rosales; Rosaceae
Exons: 3
Source: RefSeq, a predicted model, not a curated record